This is a long non-coding RNA of Pan paniscus (pygmy chimpanzee), 932 nucleotides long. The record is from Ensembl. Lineage: Eukaryota; Metazoa; Chordata; Mammalia; Primates; Hominidae.
GCCAAAGUGGGCGGAUCACCUGAGCUCAGGAGUUGGAGACCAGCCUGGCCAACAUGGUAAAACCCUGUCUCUACUAAACAGACAAAAAAUUUGUUGGGCAUGGCGGUGCAUGCCUAUAAUCCCAGCUACUCGGGAGGCUGAGGCAGGAGAACAGCUUGAACCCAGGAGGUGGAGGUUGCAGUGAGCCAGGAUCCCACCACUGCACUCCAGCCUGGGUGAUAGAGCGAGACUCCAUCUCAAAAAAAAGAAAAAAGAAAAAAAGAACUCCAGCAAAUAGAGAUUAAACAAGUAGAAGCAGAUAGAGAUUAAAGAAACAGAGCUGCUGGGGAUCAGAGGUGGAUGUGUGUGUGUGUUUUAUGGGAGGGGCUGUGGGUUAGUCCCCUGCCCUGCCCUCCUCACCUGGUCCAUCUUGUGGGCAUCCCCUAGGUGAGGCCAGAGGAGCUCCGUGCUGCUAGGAGAUCCAGGCAGAAACCUCCAGGAUUGGAAGCUCAGCCCAGCGGCUGGGAGGCUGUGGCACCUCCUGUCCACAUGGCAGGCCAGGCCGAGGUGGGCUGGCUACACAGUGGGGCUCCCCCCUCUCUGAUAAGGCCAAAUGGGGAGAAGGUGACAGAAGGGACGAAGAUGCCCCAACCUGGAACAAGUCGAUCAUUUUAAAAUUUCAUUGCUGAACCCAACAUAAUUUCAGACCUCAUAUCUGGCGAAUGCAUCAGUUCAUUGGAACACAAAAAUACACUAUCAAACAGACAAUCAAAUUUCAUGUAAAAUAAGCUUCAGCAUUAAAAUGGUUCCUGGUGUUUUAUGUGUGUGACUCGGUGGGCAGAUAUAUUUCUUGCUACUAGAGCAAGACUGAUUUGUGUGAAGGCUCCCGUCACCAAAUCACUCGGAAGGCUGGGAGAUAAAAUGUCGCUUAGGAUAAUGUAAUUGGCCUUAAG